UUGCCAUCAUUCAGUUGGGCACUCUAGCGAGGCUGCCGGUAAUAAACCGGAGGAAGGUGGGGAUGACGUCAAAUCAUCAUGCCCCUUAUGACCUGGGCUACACACGUGCUAUAAUGGUUGGUACAACGAGUUGCGAGUCGGCGACGGCGAGCUAAUCUCUUAAAGCCAAUCUCAGUUCGGAUUGUAGGCUGCAACUCGCCUACAUGAAGUCGGAAUCGCUAGUAAUCGCGGAUCAGCACGCCGCGGUGAAUACGUUCCCGGGCCUU
Molecule: ribosomal RNA, 266 nt
Filed under: uncultured Streptococcus sp.
Lineage: Bacteria; Bacillati; Bacillota; Bacilli; Lactobacillales; Streptococcaceae
Description: partial 16S ribosomal RNA
Rfam family: Bacterial small subunit ribosomal RNA
Source: RNAcentral